GGAGUUUGGACCGUGUCUCAGUUCCAAUGUGGGGGACCUUCCUCUCAGAACCCCUACUGAUCGUCGCCUUGGUGGGCCGUUACCCCGCCAACCAGCUAAUCAGACGCAGGUCCAUCCCUCACCGAUAAAUCUUUGGCGAUAAAGCCAUGUGACUCCAUCGCAUUAUCAGGUAUUAAUCCCAGUUUCCCGAGGCUAUCCCUGUGUAAGGGGCAGGUUACCUACGCGUUACUCACCCGUCCGCCGCUAUCCUCUGCAUCAAUCCACCGAAGUCUCAAUCAACAGAUUCCCGCUCGACUUGCAUGUGUUAGGCACGCCGCCAGCGUUCAUC
This 328-nucleotide ribosomal RNA is filed under the name uncultured Clostridiaceae bacterium. RNAcentral's name for it is "partial 16S ribosomal RNA". The record is from RNAcentral. Lineage: Bacteria; Bacillati; Bacillota; Clostridia; Eubacteriales; Clostridiaceae.